Molecule: ribosomal RNA, 467 nt
Filed under: uncultured bacterium
Lineage: Bacteria
Description: partial 16S ribosomal RNA
Rfam family: Bacterial small subunit ribosomal RNA
Source: RNAcentral
ACGCACGCUGGCGGCGUGCUUAACACAUGCAAGUCGAACGGAAAGGCCCUGCUUUUGUGGGGUGCUCGAGUGGCGAACGGGUGAGUAACACGUGAGUAACCUGCCCUUGACUUUGGGAUAACUUCAGGAAACUGGGGCUAAUACCGGAUAGGAGCUCCUGCUGCAUGGUGGGAGUUGGAAAGUUUCGGCGGUUGGGGAUGGACUCGCGGCUUAUCAGCUUGUUGGUGGGGUAGUGGCUUACCAAGGCUUUGACGGGUAGCCGGCCUGAGAGGGUGACCGGCCACAUUGGGACUGAGAUACGGCCCAGACUCCUACGGGAGGCAGCAGUGGGGAAUAUUGCACAAUGGGCGGAAGCCUGAUGCAGCAACGCCGCGUGCGGGAUGACGGCCUUCGGGUUGUAAACCGCUUUCGCCUGUGACGAAGCGUGAGUGACGGUAAUGGGUAAAGAAGCACCGGCUAACUACGUG